UGGCGGACGGGUGAGUAAAGUAUCGGAACGUGCCCAGUCGUGGGGGAUAACGUAGCGAAAGUUACGCUAAUACCGCAUACGAUCUAUGGAUGAAAGCGGGGGAUCGCAAGACCUCGCGCGAUUGGAGCGGCCGAUAUCAGAUUAGGUAGUUGGUGGGGUAAAGGCUCACCAAGCCGACGAUCUGUAGCUGGUCUGAGAGGACGACCAGCCACACUGGGACUGAGACACGGCCCAGACUCCUACGGGAGGCAGCAGUGGGGAAUCUUGCGCAAUGGGCGAAAGCCUGACGCAGCCAUGCCGCGUGAAUGAUGAAGGUCUUAGGAUUGUAAAAUUCUUUCACCGGGGACGAUAAUGACGGUACCCGGAGAAGAAGCCCCGGCUAACUUCGUGCCAGCAGCCGCGGUAAU
RNAcentral lists this ribosomal RNA (407 nucleotides) under uncultured bacterium. RNAcentral's name for it is "bacterial SSU rRNA". It matches the Rfam family "Bacterial small subunit ribosomal RNA", at positions 96 to 524 of the family's 1533-position model. The record is from RNAcentral.